Molecule: long non-coding RNA, 502 nt
Organism: Schistocerca serialis cubense
Lineage: Eukaryota; Metazoa; Arthropoda; Insecta; Orthoptera; Acrididae
Exons: 4
Source: RefSeq, a predicted model, not a curated record
AGAUGUCAAACCAUGCCGAAACUACACUGACGGAAAAGAAAUCGCAAUACCAAGCAGCAGUAGUGCGACGUAAACGGAAAUUGGUGCCGUUACUAACGACGUUCAAAGACGAUAAGGAACGAAGGAAAAGCUAUUCCCUGAAUCAUCGGCAGUUCGAAACGUCAUAAAGGAAGACGUGAAAUAGGACGUAUCUAAUGUAUUAACAUGGAAGAACUGGGCAGUUACUGAGAGGAGGAAUGUACACUGCGACAAAACUUGAUAGCAGAUGAAAACAGUGUGUUGCACGCGAGUCGAAUCCGGCUCAUUGAAUUUCGCAGCAGGGGCUCCAGGACACGCGCGCCGGCCACACGCGCCUGACCUAGCACGGUUGGCGGACUGCCAGAACGCCGCAGCCGAGCUGAGCGGAGCAUUGCCGCCUCUGCAGUAUCGACCUCUCGACACGCACCGCUCGAUGCGAGCUCUCGCCACCCUCUCCGACCAGCGGCGCGCGUGCACACGCAGC